GACGAACGCUGGCGGCGUGCUUAACACAUGCAAGUCGAACGGGCCCGCCCCUGUUUUUGGGGGUGGGUUGAGUGGCGAACGGGUGAGUAUCACGUGAGUAACCUGCCCCCUGCUCCUGGAUAACUGCUUGAAAGGGCGGCUAAUACGGGGUGUGCCGGCUGGUCCGCAUGGGCCUGGUCGGGAUAGUUUCAUCUUCGGGUGUUUCGGUGGGGGAUGGGCUCGCGGCCUAUCAGCUUGUUGGUGGGGUGAUGGCCCACCAAGGCGGUGACGGGUAGCCGGCCUGAGAGGGUGGGCGGCCACACUGGGACUGAGACACGGCCCAGACUCCUGCGGGAGGCAGCAGUGGGGGGUAUUGCACAAUAGGCGGAAGCCUGAUGCAGCGACGUCGCGUGAGGGAUGGAGGCCUUCGGGUUGUGAACCUCUUUCUCCGGUGGUGAAGGCCCUGUCCGUUGCGGCGGGGUUGACGGUAGCCGGGUAUGAAGCGCCGGCUAACUACGUG
This 499-nucleotide ribosomal RNA is filed under the name uncultured bacterium. RNAcentral describes it as "partial 16S ribosomal RNA". It matches the Rfam family "Bacterial small subunit ribosomal RNA", at positions 28 to 507 of the family's 1533-position model. The record is from RNAcentral.